RNAcentral lists this ribosomal RNA (254 nucleotides) under uncultured prokaryote. RNAcentral's name for it is "partial 16S ribosomal RNA". It matches the Rfam family "Bacterial small subunit ribosomal RNA", at positions 524 to 777 of the family's 1533-position model. The record is from RNAcentral.
UACGGAGGAUGCAAGCGUUAUCCGGAUUCAUUGGGUUUAAAGGGUGCGCAGGCGGGAAUGUAAGUCAGUGGUGAAAAACUGCCGCUUAACGGUAGUCUUGCCAAUGAUACUGCGUUUCUUGAGUAUGGUUAAGGUAGGCGGAAUGUGCAGUGUAGCGGUGAAAUGCAUAGAGAUUGCACAGAACGCCGAUUGCGAAGGCAGCUUACUGAGCCAUAACUGACGCUGAGGCACGAAAGCGUGGGUAGCGAACAGGA